This 497-nucleotide ribosomal RNA is filed under the name Bulbothrix isidiza. RNAcentral's name for it is "eukaryotic LSU rRNA". The stretch from base 152 to 305 matches the Rfam family "5.8S ribosomal RNA". The record is from RNAcentral. Lineage: Eukaryota; Fungi; Ascomycota; Lecanoromycetes; Lecanorales; Parmeliaceae.
GAGGAUCAUUACCGAGAAAAGGGGGCUUCGGCCCUUCCCUUUCACCCUUUGUCGUAUCACCUUUUGUUGCUUUGGCGGGCUCGCCCCCCGCCAAAAGCCCUUCUAAAUCCUGCUUGAAUGGUGGUGUCUGAGCUAUUUUAUAAUUGAUAAAAACUUUCAACAACGGAUCUCUUGGUUCCAGCAACGAUGAAGAACGCAGCGAAAUGCGAUACGUAAUGUGAAUUGCAGAAUUCAGUGAAUCAUCGAAUCUUUGAACGCAUAUUGCGCCCCUCGGUAUUCCGGGGGGCAUACCUGUUCGAGCGUCAUUACACCUUUCAAGCGUUGCUUGGUAUUGGGCGUUCGCCGGGCGGCGUGCCUGAAAAACAGUGGCGGCCCGGAGUGGCUUCGAGCGAAUUGAAUGAUCCACCGCUCUGGAAGAUCGCCCCGCGGCCGGCCGUUCCGUCCACCAUGGACCUCGUUUAAUUGACCUCGGAUCAGGUAGGGAUACCCGCUAAGUU